Molecule: ribosomal RNA, 459 nt
Filed under: uncultured bacterium
Lineage: Bacteria
Description: partial 16S ribosomal RNA
Rfam family: Bacterial small subunit ribosomal RNA
Source: RNAcentral
CCUACGGGUGGCAGCAGUGAGGAAUAUUGGUCAAUGGCCGAGAGGCUGAACCAGCCAAGUCGCGUGAGGGAAGACGGCCCUACGGGUUGUAAACCUCUUUUGUCGGGGAGCAAAGCGAACCACGUGUGGUUCAUUGAGAUUACCCGAAGAAAAAGCAUCGGCUAACUCCGUGCCAGCAGCCGCGGUAAUACGGAGGAUGCGGGCGUUAUCCGGAUUUAUUGGGUUUAAAGGGUGCGCAGGCGGAGUUGCAAGUCAGCGGUAAAAGUGCGGGGCUCAACCCCGUACUGCCGUUGAAACUGGAUCCCUUGAGUGCGCGAGAAGUAUGCGGAAUGCGUGGUGUAGCGGUGAAAUGCAUAGAUAUCACGCAGAACUCCGAUUGCGAAGGCAGCAUACCGGCGCGCAACUGACGCUGAUGUACGAAAGCGUGGGUAUCGAACAGGAUUAGAUACCCCUGUAGUC